CGUGGGCAAUCUGCCCUGCACUCUGGGACAAGCCCUGGAAACGGGGUCUAAUACCGGAUGAUACCUGCCGAGGCAUCUCGGUGGGUUGAAAGCUCCGGCGGUGCAGGAUGAGCCCGCGGCCUAUCAGCUUGUUGGUGAGGUAGUGGCUCACCAAGGCGACGACGGGUAGCCGGCCUGAGAGGGCGACCGGCCACACUGGGACUGAGACACGGCCCAGACUCCUACGGGAGGCAGCAGUGGGGAAUAUUGCACAAUGGGCGAAAGCCUGAUGCAGCGACGCCGCGUGAGGGAUGACGGCCUUCGGGUUGUAAACCUCUUUCAGCAGGGAAGAAGCGCAAGUGACGGUACCUGCAGAAGAAGCGCCGGCUAACUACGUGCCAGCAGCCGCGGUAAUACGUAGGGCGCAAGCGUUGUCCGGAAUUAUUGGGCGUAAAGAGCUCGUAGGCGGUCUGUCGCGUCGGAUGUGAAAGCCCGGGGCUUAACCCCGGGUCUGCAUUCGAUACGGGCA
Molecule: ribosomal RNA, 508 nt
Filed under: Streptomyces sp. SCAU5132
Lineage: Bacteria; Bacillati; Actinomycetota; Actinomycetes; Kitasatosporales; Streptomycetaceae
Description: bacterial SSU rRNA
Rfam family: Bacterial small subunit ribosomal RNA
Source: RNAcentral